Molecule: ribosomal RNA, 301 nt
Filed under: uncultured bacterium
Lineage: Bacteria
Description: partial 16S ribosomal RNA
Rfam family: Bacterial small subunit ribosomal RNA
Source: RNAcentral
CAGUCGCCGCGGGAAUACAGAGGGUGCAAGCGUUAAUCGGAAUUACUGGGCGUAAAGCGCGCGUAGGUGGUUUGUUAAGUUGGAUGUGAAAGCCCCGGGCUCAACCUGGGAACUGCAUCCAAAACUGGCAAGCUAGAGUACGGUAGAGGGUGGUGGAAUUUCCUGUGUAGCGGUGAAAUGCGUAGAUAUAGGAAGGAACACCAGUGGCGAAGGCGACCACCUGGACUGAUACUGACACUGAGGUGCGAAAGCGUGGGGAGCAAACAGGAUUAGAUACCCCCGUAGUCCCUGUCUCUUAUAA